This 283-nucleotide signal recognition particle RNA is filed under the name Cebus imitator (Panamanian white-faced capuchin). Its description in RNAcentral is "Metazoan signal recognition particle RNA (ENSCCAG00000006293.1)". It matches the Rfam family "Metazoan signal recognition particle RNA". From Rfam's summary of the family: The signal recognition particle (SRP) is a universally conserved ribonucleoprotein. It is involved in the co-translational targeting of proteins to membranes. Lineage: Eukaryota; Metazoa; Chordata; Mammalia; Primates; Cebidae. The record is from RNAcentral.
GCCGGGCGCGGUGGCGCGUGCCUGUAGCCCCAGCUACUAGGGAGGCUGAGGUGGGAGGAUCGCUUGAGCCCAAGAGUUCUGGGCUGCAGUGUGCUAUGCCGAUCGGGUGGCUGCAUUAAGUUCGGCAUCAAUAUGGUGACCUCCCGGGAGCGGGGGACCACCAGGUUGCCUAAGGAGGGCGGAAACGGGGCAGGUCAAAACUCCCGUGCUGAUCAGUAGUGGGAUCACGCGUGUGAAUUGCCACUGCACUCCAGCCUGGGCAACAUAGCGAGACCCCGUCUCU